UACGUAGGGUGCGAGCGUUGUCCGGAAUUAUUGGGCGUAAAGGGCUCGUAGGCGGUCUGUCGCGUCGGUAGUGAAAACUCAGGGCUUAACCCUGAGCCUGCUUCCGAUACGGGCAGACUAGAGGUAUGCAGGGGAGAAUGGAAUUCCUGGUGUAGCGGUGAAAUGCGCAGAUAUCAGGAGGAACACCGGUGGCGAAGGCGGGACUCUGGGCCGAUACUGACGCUGAGGAGCGAAAGCGUGGGGAGCGAACAGG
This 253-nucleotide ribosomal RNA is filed under the name uncultured bacterium. RNAcentral's name for it is "partial 16S ribosomal RNA". It matches the Rfam family "Bacterial small subunit ribosomal RNA", at positions 524 to 776 of the family's 1533-position model. The record is from RNAcentral.